This 499-nucleotide ribosomal RNA is filed under the name uncultured bacterium. RNAcentral's name for it is "partial 16S ribosomal RNA". It matches the Rfam family "Bacterial small subunit ribosomal RNA", at positions 28 to 507 of the family's 1533-position model. The record is from RNAcentral.
GAUGAACGCUGGCGGCGUGCCUAAUACAUGCAAGUCGAGCGAACAGACGAGAGUGCUUGCACUCUCUGACGUUAGCGGCGGACGGGUGAGUAACACGUGGGUAACCUACCUAUAAGACUGGGAUAACUUCGGGAAACCGGAGCUAAUACCGGAUAAUAUUUAGCUUCGCAUGAAGCAAUAGUGAAAGACGGUUCUGCUGUCACUUAUAGAUGGACCCGCGGUGUAUUAGCUAGUUGGUGAGGUAACGGCUCACCAAGGCAACGAUACAUAGCCGACCUGAGAGGGUGAUCGGCCACACGGGGAAGGAGCCACGGCCCAGACUCCUACGGGAGGCAGCAGUAGGGAAUCUUCCGCAAUGGACGAAAGUCUGACGGAGCAAUGCCGCGUGAGUGAAGAAGGUUUUCGGAUCGUAAAACUCUGUUGUAAGGGAAGAACAAGUACGUUAGUAACUGAACGUACCUUGACGGUACCUUACCAGAAAGCCACGGCUAACUACGUG